This 90-nucleotide transfer RNA is filed under the name Flavobacteriales bacterium. RNAcentral's name for it is "tRNA-Ser". It matches the Rfam family "tRNA". Rfam says of the family: Transfer RNA (tRNA) molecules are approximately 80 nucleotides in length. Their secondary structure includes four short double-helical elements and three loops (D, anti-codon, and T loops). Lineage: Bacteria; Pseudomonadati; Bacteroidota; Flavobacteriia; Flavobacteriales. The record is from RNAcentral.
GGAAGGUUGGGUGAGUGGCUGAAACCAACAGUUUGCUAAACUGUCGAACGGGAAACUGUUCCGGGGGUUCGAAUCCCCCACCUUCCGCCA